AUGGACCGGAUCACGCAGCUCUCAGGUGCCAGGUUUUGUGGCGUCUGUCCUCCAGCACCCGGCAGCCUCCCGGGGCUCCGAGCAGCCCCGAUCCCGAGACUGCGUUCCGGGCCACAAGGUGUUAAACCGUGGUGGCAGCGGGGUCCGGAGUCCCUCCCUCCUUCCCUCCCUCCCGGCGUCCCCAGCUCGGAGUCUACGCGGCUGGCGCGCAAGGAGUUAAGUCUGCCCGCAAUCUGCAAGACUGGAGUCGGGGAGGGGGAGGAGGGGGGAGAGGAGGAGGGGGGGAGAGAAGAAGGGGGAAGCAGACUGCAGGGAGACAGCGCCAGGAACCCCCUCCCCAGGGACCUGGCCCCUGGGCCCCCAGCCCCAAAAGAGGCCCUGCCCUCCCCGGGGUCGUGCUCCCUUCCCCCGCCCAGCCUCCGCCCUCCAGCUUUGUGUCCCCAGGAGGGUGGGCUGCAGGAUUUCCAGCCAAGCCUUGGCUGCCUGCUCAGUUUUUCCAAACCCUCCAGUCGGGGAAGGCGGGAGCCCUGUCAGGAUAAGAGUCCCUCCCCCACUGCCCCCGCCGGCCCCCUCUCCCAGCCUCCUUUUUCCUGCCCCCCACCCCCGCACCUCUCCCAAACUUCUUUCCCGUUCCUAUCCUGGCCCCUGCGCCCCCUAGCCCCACCUCUAUUGGCUCCCAAGUUCCAAGUUCAGGUUGGAGGGGCCAGGUGGGUCCCCGAUUCCCGGCGAGGCGCUGGGAAAGGCAAACUCCGCAGGCCGACACUGAGACCUGCCGGGCGCCCGCCCGACUCGCAGCCUGGCGCCCGCCCCAUCGCAAGACGUGGCCCCAGGUCCACCCGGGAAGGUGGCUCAGGGGGCUCUCCCGCCCCGGGAGGGAGCUGGUGCCGGGGGCGCCGGCAGAGCCGGGCAGCCGACUCUGGGCGGCCGGUGCCAGGCCUCGGGGCACGCUUCGAGGAGGGGGCAAAGUGUUCCGAGCGCUGGCACGGUUCUGUCCAGCAGGUCUAUUAUAUAAUAAUCACCAUCUAUCAGGAAGCCAGGCAGCUGGAGUGA
Molecule: long non-coding RNA, 1050 nt
Filed under: Canis lupus familiaris (dog)
Lineage: Eukaryota; Metazoa; Chordata; Mammalia; Carnivora; Canidae
Description: lncRNA (ENSCAFG00040000179.1)
Source: RNAcentral